AUGGGCCACCACGGUCUUGAUGCCCACCCACACUGCCUCACUGGGAUCACCACCACGAGGCAAAGAGGACGGAGAGAGGAGCGCCAGGAAUCAGGAGCGGCAGCACCGGAGCCGCGCGGGAGGGAACCACCUCCACUGCUGUUGUGCGGGAGGUUUGUGCCUCCAACACCGUCGUGGUCGCUGUUCGGACGUGGCAACAGGGGCAUACCAGGCCACCCCUGGCCCGGCCAUGCCCAAAUCGGCCCCGCAAAGCCCCGACUGCCACGUUGCAGCAGGCCGGCGCCAGCGGCCGCCACCACCCACUCCGCCCAAUGCCGCUCCUCCGCUUGCCGGAAACCACACCAUCGACGUGCCCCACCACGCCCCCUGCCUAGACCGAGAUGGGCCCAGAUCUGGGCUGAGCGGGUGCUGCGCCACCCUGCCGCAAAUGCUGCUCGGCUGCCCCAACUGCUGUCGUUGAAGAAGGCAGAGGCAGAAGCUACCUCAACCUGUUUUGAUCUGUUGAUCAAUGGCCAUGGCUGGAUCCAGGCGCCUUUGAGGGCAAGUUCGCGCACCUCUCUUUGCAAGAAUUUUGACAUCCUCUUCCUCCCUGCCGAGCCCCCGGCCAUCUCCCGCUUCUACAUACGGUGGCCUGACGAUACAAAGUCGGAGGAUGCCAAGGGAACCAAGCUCGUGGCCGCCCACCGUGAUCUGGUUCUCUUCAUGCAAACCUCUUUUGGAAGAUUGGACAAGGACGGUCGCUUACCGAUCAUACAAGACCACUUUAUAUGUGUAGCGUCAUGUGAGACUAAGCCGUCCCUGCAGCUCAAACAGCUCCCUAUCUGCAACAAGCCAAUGAUCUUCCCUUUUGGAGAGGGAGAGGAGAAGGCAAUGGCUGAGCAGCGUCUGUUCUUCCCGGACACUGUAGGACUCAUCCGAGGCCAUGGCGAAAGCGUUGAAGCAGAAUUUGCAGUGGCGCAGCUGGCUAUGGUCAGCGAAAUACCUGGCUCGCUCAACAUGGAAGCAGAAGUUUGUGUGUUCCUCUCACUUGUAUCUGGUAAUGAUGGUGAUGGCAAAUGGGAUGUGAGGAAGAUACCAAUCGACCAUAAGGAGGAUGAGCAUAAGGAGUUAUACUAUUGGUCAACUGAUGCUGUCAUCACAUUCAACUCUUGCAUUUGUUGGAUUAGUUAUUACAGAGGUGAUGGGCCAUGGGAUGAGCAUGUGGCCAUCACAUCUGAAGAGCUGUGGGCUUUAAACAGAUAUAUAGGUCUGCUGUGUGAUAUCCUGAUGUUCCCUCUUGUGAGCAUGCUGAAUUCCAACAUCGCAUACUUUUUGGUCUCAGAGUCUGCCGAAGAAGAAAAAAGCAAGGUUUCUUUGGUCACAAUUCAGUUAAGUACCAAGAAAGUGCUCGUAGUUCAUCCAUAUAUUUUAAGAGAAGAAGGCAGCCCCAGUGGCCCAGAUGCUGACAUGAUCGAGGAAAAGUCUCAUCUCCUAAGGAGUUUCAUUUCCUCCAGGUUUCCCCGCGUACUUAAAACAAGGUCUUGGUGCCAGGGUGUGUGA
RNAcentral lists this ribosomal RNA (1539 nucleotides) under Triticum aestivum (bread wheat). Its description in RNAcentral is "partial small subunit ribosomal RNA". The record is from RNAcentral. Lineage: Eukaryota; Viridiplantae; Streptophyta; Magnoliopsida; Poales; Poaceae.